CUCCGGUUGAUCCUGCCGGACCCGACUGCUAUCAGAGUGGGACUAAGCCAUGCGAGUCAACGCAGCAAUGCGUGGCAUACGGCUCAGUAACACGUAGUCAACAUGCCCAGGGGACGUGGAUAACCUCGGGAAACUGAGGAUAAACCGCGAUAGGCCAAGGUUUCUGGAAUGGACACUGGCUGAAACCUAUAUGGCCCCUGGAUUGGACUGCGGCCGAUCAGGCUGUUGGUGAGGUAAUGGCCCACCAAACCUGUAACCGGUACGGGCUUUGAGAGAAGGAGCCCGGAGAUGGGCACUGAGACAAGGGCCCAGGCCCUAUGGGGCGCAGCAGGCGCGAAAAUUCUGCAAUAGGCGAAAGCUUGACAGAGUUACUCUGAGUGAUGCCCGCUAAGGGCAUCUUUUGGCACCUCUAAAAAUGGUGCAGAAUAAGGGGUGGGCAAGUCUGGUGUCAGCCGCCGCGGUAAUACCAGCACCCCGAGUGGUCGGGACGAUUAUUGGGCCUAAAGCAUCCGUAGCCGGUUCUACAAGUCUUCCGUUAAAUCCACCUGCUUAACAGAUGGGCUGCGGAAGAUACUAUAGAGCUAGGAGGCGGGAGAGGCAAGCGGUACUCGAUGGGUAGGGGUAAAAUCCGUUGAUCCAUUGAAGACCACCAGUGGCGAAGGCGGCUUGCCAGAACGCGCUCGACGGUGAGGGAUGAAAGCUGGGGGAGCAAACCGGAUUAGAUACCCGGGUAGUCCCAGCUGUAAACGAUGCAGACUCGGUGAUGAGUUGGCUUAUUGCUAACUCAGUGCCGCAGGGAAGCCGUUAAGUUUGCCGCCUGGGGAGUACGGUCGCAAGACUGAAACUUAAAGGAAUUGGCGGGGGAGCA
This 868-nucleotide ribosomal RNA is filed under the name uncultured archaeon. RNAcentral describes it as "bacterial SSU rRNA". It matches the Rfam family "Archaeal small subunit ribosomal RNA", at positions 1 to 878 of the family's 1478-position model. The record is from RNAcentral.